RNAcentral lists this non-coding RNA (21 nucleotides) under Caenorhabditis elegans. The record is from RNAcentral. Lineage: Eukaryota; Metazoa; Nematoda; Chromadorea; Rhabditida; Rhabditidae.
UUCACUUCUUUUUUGGUCAUU